GAUGAAGAACGUAGCGAAAUGCGAUAAGUAAUGUGAAUUGCAGAAUUCAGUGAAUCAUCGAGUCUUUGAACGCACAUUGCGCCCCCUGGUAUUCCGGGGGGCAUGCCUGUCCGAGCGUCAUUGCUGCCCUCAAGCACGGCUUGUGUGUUGGGCCCCCGCCCCCCGGCUUCGGGGGGCGGGCCCGAAAGGCAGCGGCGGCACCGCGUCCGGUCCUCGAGCGUAUGGGGCUUCGUCACCCGCUCUGUAGGCCCGGCCGGCGCCCGCCGGCGACCCCAAUCAAUCUUUCCAGGUUGACCUCGGAUCAGGUAGGGAUACCCGCUGAACUUAAGCAUAUCAAUAAGCGGAGA
Molecule: unclassified non-coding RNA, 347 nt
Filed under: soil metagenome
Description: partial contains 5.8S ribosomal RNA, internal transcribed spacer 2, and large subunit ribosomal RNA
Rfam family: 5.8S ribosomal RNA (bases 1-120)
Source: RNAcentral